This 134-nucleotide ribosomal RNA is filed under the name uncultured bacterium. RNAcentral describes it as "partial 16S ribosomal RNA". It matches the Rfam family "Bacterial small subunit ribosomal RNA", at positions 1369 to 1500 of the family's 1533-position model. The record is from RNAcentral.
CGUUCCCGGGUCUUGUACACACCGCCCGUCACACCAUGGGAGCGGGUUUUACCAGAAGUAGGUAGCUUAACCGCAAGGAGGGCGCUUACCACGGUAGGAUUCGUGACGUGGGGUGAAGUCGUAACAACGGUACC